This 273-nucleotide unclassified non-coding RNA is filed under the name Nostoc sp. HA4356-MV1. RNAcentral describes it as "16S-23S ribosomal RNA intergenic spacer". The record is from RNAcentral. Lineage: Bacteria; Bacillati; Cyanobacteriota; Cyanophyceae; Nostocales; Nostocaceae.
UUUUAGGGAGACCUACACCCCUCAAAUAUUGAAAGCAAACAGCUUUCUAAAUAUUGAGAUGGUCAAACCUAGGUCGGUCGAGGUUGGUAAAUAGCUUUCAAAGUAUUAGUGGUUCAGUAAACGUUUAAAAACUAAGAAAAAUUCAGCAACAUGGCUAUAGCCAGACUGCUGGAUAGUUAUCCAGCCAGAACCUUGAAAACUGCAUAGGAAUGCGAUUUAAGCAGGCAGACACAGACAUUGGAUGUGUAUGCAAUUGAAGCUGAAUUGAAUAGU